GACAGAGGUGCCGAGCGUUAGGCGGAAUCACUGGGCUUAAAGCGUGUGUAGGCGGGCCGUUAAGUGUCUUGUGAAAUCCCCCGGCUCAACCGGGGAAUUGCUGGGCAUACUGGCGGUCUUGAGCGAUCUAGGGGCAGAUGGAACAAGUGGUGGAGCGGUGAAAUGCGUAGAUAUCACUUGGAACGCCAAAGGUGAAGACAGUCUGCUGGGGAUCUGCUGACGCUGAGACACGAAAGCCAGGGGAGUGAACGGG
RNAcentral lists this ribosomal RNA (253 nucleotides) under uncultured bacterium. Its description in RNAcentral is "partial 16S ribosomal RNA". It matches the Rfam family "Bacterial small subunit ribosomal RNA", at positions 524 to 776 of the family's 1533-position model. The record is from RNAcentral.